This 11997-nucleotide long non-coding RNA is filed under the name Fragaria vesca (wild strawberry). Its description in RNAcentral is "long non-coding RNA (FVES_LNC003773)". The record is from RNAcentral. Lineage: Eukaryota; Viridiplantae; Streptophyta; Magnoliopsida; Rosales; Rosaceae.
UGCUGUUUUUCGUGGGUGUCGUGAUGAAAUCAUACAUCCUAAUCUCUCUCAAGCAGCAUUGCUUUUCCCACCGAGAGAUGACCUGCCUGAAAAGUAUAUAGCUUUGAUGGAAGGGUGGUCGAUUGCCGUAAAGAAAGUUGCUACAAGGAGAUUUGUAUUUGGUGCGAAAGCCAUAUCUGCAAUUCAAGAUGAAGCGAAGAGCGAGUCCGUGCCCAAGCCAUCACGAGUUCAGGCCGUCUCUGGUUUUCUCUUGAAACAUCUUCUCUCUGCUUCUCGGGCAUCAUCAUCAGGUAAAUCAGUUUAUGUGUCUUCUUAAAAGUGCACCACAUGCAAUUGCGUGAUUGGCAAAGGAGGGCUAGGCGUGAUUAAUUAAGCUAGAGAAGACAAGGUUUUUCCAUUAAUUGUUAGUGAGGCUUGCUCAAAUGCGAGCGUACAAGAGUUUUCAGUAGCUUUAUUUCUGCUGCUUAGGUUAUACCGGAUUUGUUUUGUAAGUUAGAAAAAUACAACUUAUUGGAUAUUGUUAUAAGCAUCUAAUUAAUGAUAUGAAUGAAAAAGAAAAAAGAUCGUACACUUAACAUUUUUCUGCUAUUAUUUCAUACUUAUUUUAUAUUUUUGUAUUACAUAUACUGUACAUAGCUUAAAAAUGAGAAAAUAUAUGAACUUUUGCAGGUACUACUUCAACAAAACUUUCUAUAGCAGCUCAGGUAGUGAACUUAAGAUCACAGAUGAACAUGGAGACAACGUUGGGUAAUGCCAUUGGAAACCUGAUGUGGUGGGCUCCGGCCAUACUAGAGUUAAAUCAUAAAGCACGAGAGAGCAGCGAUCCUAAGCUGUGUGACUUGGUUAUCUUGCUCAAUGAAUCUGUCAAACAAUCUAACAGUGAUUACUUCGACACUUUCAAGGGUAAAGAGGGAUAUGGAAGAAUGUGUGAGCAUCUAGAUAUGGAGGGGACUGUAAGUUCUGUAGAACCAGCACCAGAGAUAUAUUCAUUCUCGAGCUGGACUAGAUUUUUCGACCAAAUUGAUUUUGGAUGCAUGGGGGAGGUCAUCUUGGAUUGGAGUUACCGGAAAACAAUCUGCAUAUUGGAAUUCCACAGUUUUAGUACCAACACAAUGUGAUACUGGAAUUGAAGCGUGGGUGAAUCUAGAUGAAGAGAAAAUGGCUAUGCUAGAACAAGAUCCCCAGUUUCUAGCAUUAGCAUCUCCAAAGACCCUAAUUUCAAGGUAUUGAUUAUGAAAGAUUAUGUGGCUCGUGCAAUGUUUCCAUUUGCAGUGAAUAAGGAUUAAAUUAGUUCCCCGGCCAAUUAAUAAGAAGCAAGGUAUGAUAGACUAUGGCUACGUAUGUUAGUAUGUUAUCCGAAUGUGCUUCGUUAUGCUUUUAACCAAUAUAGCUCUGUUUUGUAACAAUGCUCUAUUGAGCUUCUAACUAUAGAGUUAUUUUUCUUGAUUAGAAAAAGAAACUAUGCAAGUUUUGUUUUGUUAAGCUAUUCUGUUUCUAAAAGAAAGGCUAUUCUGUUUCUAAAACGGGAUGCAUGUAUUACCUAAAAAGAUGAUUCACCUAUAAUUAUUUUUCAAGUAAAUGAUUAUUUGAUAGCAAUCACGCCGUGUAUUUCUAUAGCUAAAAUUGUAAUUUAGAUCAGUGACAACAUGAUUAAAAGUUACAUAUUCUGAUACAUUUGUUAUUUAACGACAAGUGUGGCCAUAAUGCCUCACCUAGUCACCUAAUGCGAAGACCUCUACGAGAGACUAAUGUCGUCUGAUCUUCUUUUCUUAAUCAAAAGAAACGAAAAUGGCCACAAUGCCUCACUAUUCAUAGAACCAUACAAUAAUUUGGAACAUAUGCAUGGAUGCAAAGAAAAAUAACACAAGAACCAUCAUAAUUUCACAUUAUAUGAGAAACUUAGCCAAAUCCGAAUCACAUCCAUGUUGGCCAAGAGUGACUAAAGAAGACCACCCAGAAAGCUAGAAAACCAUAAAAUCCAGAAAACUUGAAUAAGCUAGGGAAAAAACAAAAAUGUGACAUUCCAUUUCUUCUUGCGGUUUUGUUAGGCCAAAUCAAAAUCUCAAUGACCCUGCAAUCAUUUACACACACUCUUUCUCAAUCUCUGCAAAACUGACUGCUUCCCCUGAAAACUUGCGCAAUAGGGUACCUAGCUCUCUGGCCUUUUCUUUCUAAUGCACAAUUUAUGGCUUUUGGUAAUGAUGAUUUUAUGCUUGUGGAUCUCAGAUGGGUUUGUUUUGUUUUGGGAUUUUUAUAAAUGAAUGCAUUGAAAAUGUUGAAAGCUUAUGCCUUUGUUCCUUGGUUCAGUGUUCUGGUUUUGUGUACGUACGAGAGUUGAAAUGUGAUCUCUAGUAUCGGUAAAGAGAAAUGUUCUAACCAUGCUAGUGUUAGUAAUUUAUCUUCUAAAGUUGUUUGAGUACUUUACUCUCUUACUUUACUAACUAAGCAUAGGAAAUAACGACCUAAACUACCUGAUUUUCGUUAGUGCUUGUAAACACGAAAAUUCCUGUAACGAAUAACAGAAAGACAUGUGUACAAAAUAAUAUAUUUGUAUUGAUUGAAUUUGCGGGUUACAAUCUCUAUGGGUAUUCUUUUAACAAGAAUGUCCUCUGAUUCGAUCUCCGAUGUUGAUUUGAUCCAAGGGUGACAAGCACUUGAUCUUGAAUUGAACUGUUGUAGUUUGAACUUCUUAUUGUGUUGACGAUUUGUAGAAGGAAGUUGACCAAGGGCCAUAGAGGCUUGAUCUUGGUCGAAUAUGGGCCGCGAGAGGUGUCACGUGGUGAACGUUCUUCGACUUGAUAGCGGAUGAAUCGGCACGUGUGUUUGGUACUUGUUGAUUCUCCACGAGGUUGUUGAAGAACUUGGUAGAAGUUUUGAUUUGUUGAAAGACUUGAAGACGAGGGUUGAUCAAGGGCCGUAGAGGCUUGACGUUGAUCGAGUUUGGGCCGAGCAGUUCCACAUGGUGGUUGCUCUUCGUCUUGUAGUUGGUGAAGAUGUCAGCUAUUUGGCAACUUGGGACUCUUCGGGAUUUGACAACCUAUAGGCUUGAGGUUGAUGAAGAAUCAACUAUUUGGCAGCUUGAUGAUUCUUCAAGGGUUUUGGGAGAAUUCUAAACUCUCGGGAGUAAUUUUUCUCUCUUGUCUGAAAGUCGUCCUCUUGAUAUGAGAGGGGGUAUUUAUAGUGUUAAUGCUCCUCCGUAAAUGGAAUGCAUUGAAGUCACAGCUUUAAUUAUAUUUCCUUAAUGAUAUAAUUAAAUCAAUCACUUUUGAUUGAUUGAUUCAAUUAUUCAAUUUCCCAUAAUUAAAUCAAUCAGUCUUAAUUGAUCGAUUUAGUUAUGAUCGAUAAGGUAUUUCACUAAUUUGAUUAAAUUCCGACUUCCUUUUCGAUAAUUGAUUUGAUUUGAUUGAUGUUUGAUUAUCGAUUGACAUUUAAUAUUUUAUUUUAGUUGGGAUUGAUGAUUUUGUUGUCGACCGACCAUUCACACGCCGCCACGUGUUAUUUUCGAAGACUUUUCAACUUUGCUGACUCACGAGCCACGUAUGCACGAGACUUUUCAACGUCUCUAAUUUACAUAGUAAUUGACGCAAUUUGGCCGAACUGUUUCUAAACACACUAAGCUUCAGUUCUAUAUAUACCGCGUACCACAUGUUUCAUCAAGUGUCAGAUAAUACAGAACCUACUUCGCCAAAAUGGAGAAAAUUGAGGUCAGUAUAAUUUCCAAACACACCAUCAAACCAUCAACUUCCUCUUCACCACUUCAGCCUUACAAGCUUACCCUGCUCGACCAGCUCACUCCUCCAUCGUAUGUCCCCAUGGUAUUCUUCUACCCCAUUACUGGCCCUGCAGUCUUCAAUCUUCAAACCCUAGCUGACUUAAGACAUGCCCUUUCCGAGACUCUCACUUUGUACUAUCCACUCUCUGGAAGGGUCAAAAACAACCUAUACAUCGAUGAUUUUGAAGAGGGUGUCCCAUACCUUGAGGCUCGAGUGAACUGUGACAUGAAUGAUUUUCUAAGGCUUCCGAAAAUCGAGUGCCUAAAUGAGUUUGUUCCAAUAAAACCAUUUAGUAUGGAAGCAAUAUCUGAUGAGCGUUACCCUUUGCUCGGAGUUCAAGUUAACAUUUUCAACUCCGGAAUAGCAAUCGGGGUCUCCGUCUCUCACAAGCUCAUCGAUGGAAGAACUUCAGACUGUUUUCUCAAGUCGUGGUGUGCUGUUUUUCGUGGUUCUCGUGACAAAAUCAUACAUCCUAAUCUCUCUCAAGCAGCAUUGCUUUUCCCACCAAGAGAUGACUUGCCUGAAAAGUAUGCCCGUCAGAUGGAAGGGUUAUGGUUUGUCGGAAAAAAAGUUGCUACAAGGAGAUUUGUAUUUGGUGCGAAAGCCAUAUCUGUAAUUCAAGAUGAAGCAAAGAGCGAGUCCGUGCCCAAGCCAUCACGAGUUCAGGCUGUCACUAGUUUUCUCUGGAAACAUCUAAUCGCUACUUCUCGAGCACUAACAUCAGGUAUGUAAAAUCAGUUUAGCAACAAGCCAAAUACUAAAGCAACUAAAUAAAAACCUAUUGUAUUUGGGGUAGUCCCUUAUUAGCUGUUGUCCUAAACUUCUAACGAUAUGAACUUUUUUCUCAAAAGAAAAAAAUAGUACACUUAACAUUUUCUGUUAUAAUUUCAUACUUAUUUAUAUAUUUUUAUUACAUACAUAGCUCAAAGAAUGAGAAAAUAUAUGAACCUGCAGGUACUACUUCAACAAGACUUUCUAUAGCAACCCAGGUAGUGAACAUAAGAUCACGGAGGAACAUGGAGACAGUGUGGGAUAAUGCCAUUGGAAACUUGAUAUGGUUCGCUCCGGCCAUACUAGAGCUAAGUCAUACAACACUAGAGAUCAGUGAUCUUAAGCUGUGUGACUUGGUUAACUUGCUCAAUGGAUCUGUCAAACAAUGUAACGGUGAUUACUUUGAGACUUUCAUGGGUAAAGAGGGAUAUGGAAGCAUGUGCGAGUAUCUAGAUUUUCAGAGGACUAUGAGUUCUAUGGAACCAGCACCAGAGAUUUAUUUAUUCACGAGCUGGACUAAUUUUUUCAACCAACUUGAUUUUGGAUGGGGGAGGACAUCAUGGAUUGGAGUUGCAGGAAAAAUUGAAUCUGCAUUUUGCAAUCUCAUAACAUUAGUUCCAACACCAUGCGAUACUGGAAUUGAAGCGUGGGUGAAUCUAGAAGAAGAAAAAAUGGCUAUGCUAGAACAAGAUCCCCAGUUUCUAGCACUAGCAUCUCCAAAGACGCUAAUUUCAAGAUAUUGAUUAAGGAAGAUUAUGCGGCUCGUGCAAUGUUUCCAUUUUGUUGUGAUUAAGGCUUAAAUUAGUUCACCAGCCAAUCAAUAAGAUGCAAGUAUGAUAGACUCGGUCUACGUAUGUUAUCCGAAUGUGUUUCCACAUGCUUGUAACCAAUAUAGCUCUUGUUUGUAACAAUGCUCUAUUAAGCUCUUCUAUCCAUAAAGUUAUUUCUCUAUUAAAAAGAAAACUAUACAAGUUUUGUUAAGUUUUUAAGGUAAGAUGCAUGUAGUACCCAAAAAGAUGGUUGACCUGUCAUUAUUUUCAAGUACAUGAUUAUCCGAUACAAUUACAUCAAAUAUUUCUAUAGCUAAAAAGUAUGUAAUUUUGAUCCGUGACAACAUGAUUAAAAAGUUAUAUAUUAUGAUGCAUUUAUCCUCUAACGACAAGCAUGGUCAUAAUGUCUCACCUCAUCACCUCACCAAGCGCGGAUCCAGUUCACAAGUGGGUAAGGCUCAAGCCCAACCAAGAAAAUUGGGGGAAAAAAAAACCUAAGUAUAGAUAUAUAUUUUUUUGGGUGAUAUAUCAUAUAUGCCCAGCCAUCAAGUGACCAAGCCCAACCCACCUAACUCAACCCAUCCCACUAACUACCCAAGUCCACAAUCAUCACUCAUCACUCAUCCACCCAACCUCCUUCAUCGAAGGAGUCCUUUAACUAAUCAGCUUAAACACCAAGUCUAAAAGUCUUCCCUGCUCUUCCCCUCCGCCUCCACUCAGUCACUCACCUAUGACCUAUCCCGGCUAUCCGGCUAUCCCUCUUCCCCUCCAGUCCUCCACGGCUCCACCAUAAUCUCCUUCUUCCCGGCCUCCUCCGGUCCUCCGAUUCCUCCCGGAUAGCGACGACUCGCCUCCGGCGGUCCGGACCUCCGCGGCUCCGCCUCCAGUCCUCCACUCACCUAUCCCUCUUCCAGCUGCUAGAAAGCUUGUUCGAGACUUGGUCCUCCACAGACAACCCAUUAGUCCAUUACCCAUCUUUCUUCACUCUCAGCCAGCAUGGUUGUACUAGAAAUUUUUUUUUGGCCUUCGGCCAAAGUUCAAGCCCACCCCAUCUUUAAAUCAUGGAUCCGCCACUGCACCUCACCAUAGUGUCCUAUCCUCUUAGGAGAAGGUAGGCACCUAAUGCAAAGGCCUUUAUGAGAGACUAAUAUCGUCUGAUCUUCUUUUCUUAAUCAAAAGAAAUGAAAAUGGCCACAAUGCCUCACUAUUCAUAGAGCCAUACAAUACUCUGGAACAUAUGCAUGGAGACAAAGAAAAAUAACACAAGAACCAUUAUAAUUUCACUUUAUACGGGAAACUUAGCUAAAUCCGAAUCAUGGGCGGAGCCAACCCAGGUGAAAUUUUGAAGCCCAAAAAAUUACCUGAAACAUCGUCGUUUGGGUGUAGGUUAUUUCUCCGUUUACUUCUUCUCAAUCUUAGUCAUAACUCACACCAUUGCGUCCGUAGCCCGUCGUUGUCGCUAGAGCGGUCGCCAUUUCCCAUAGCCCGCGCCGUCGCCCGUAGACCACAUCCCGAGUCAGUCAGUCCCCACUUGGCUACUUCCCCAGGUAUGGCUCAAUCGGAUUGCUUAUAUUCUGAUCGUGGACAUAGCAGGCUUCAAUUCAAAAGCCAUCAUAUUCAUAUGCUUCAAUGUUGCUUUACUUCGUCUAUAACUAGAGUUUCAGCUUUGCUUCGUCUUCAAUGUUGAUAUGUUGAUAUAAAAUAUUAACUUGAUUAGGAUUUGUUGAUAUAGAAUAUUACCUUGAUUAGGAUUUGUUGUUAUGUAAUAUGUAUUAGGAUAUUUAUUACUCAUAUUAGGAUUUGUUAUAUGAUCUUACAUCCUUACGAAUGAAUAUACAUCAACACAAUCGAAAUCUGCAUGGUCAUAUUAGCCUUAACUAGUUCAGUCCAAUUCAUAUUAGUCUUAAACUAGUUCAGUCUAAUUCCUCAUGGGUAUAUGCUGAACUUUAAGAUGUUGAUCUUCUAUAAUAACUGAGUUCGAUACCAGAAAUCUUUGAUGAUUGUCCACAUAUGUUAUCUUAUAAUCCUAUAUUAAUUUGUACUAAUCUCAUAGUCUUAAUUUGAAAGCUCCUUAUACGUCUUAACUUGGAUAUGGAUGUGGAUUUGAUCUUAUUAUAUGUAAUAUUAAAGUGAAGUUGUUGUAUUACACAGAAUGUUUGAUGAAUAAAUAACAAAUUGAUCGCGUCAAAAGGCUAGAUCAAAAAAUUUCUUGCACCAUCGAACAAAUUUUCUUGUGUAUACAAUUUCAUGGUUCCGCCACAUUGGCAACAAAGAGUGAUUGGAAAAGAAGAACACCCAGAAAGAUAAAAACCAUAAAACUUGUUUAAGCGAAAAAAACAAAAGUAUGCCAUUCAUUUCUUCUUGCGGUUUUGUUAGGCCAAAAAUCAAAAUCCCAUGAUACCCAAUCAGUUACACACUCUCCCUCUCAAUCUCUACAGAACUGACUGCUUCCCCUGAAAACUUGCGCAAUAAGGUACCCAUCUCUCUGGCCUUUUCUUUGUAAUGCAUAUAAGUUCCUGUAAAUUUUAAAGCUUUUGGAAUGAUGAUUUUAUGCUUGUGGAUCUCAAGAUGAGUUUGUUUGUUUUUUUCGGGAUUUUUAUAAUGAAUGCAUUGAAAAUGUUGAAAGCUUAUGCCUUUGUUCCUUGGUUCAGUGUUUUGGUUUUGUAUACGAGAGUUGAAAUGUGAUCUCUAGCUUGACUGUUGGUAUUGGUAAAGAGAAAUGUUCUAGAAAACCAUGCUAGUAUUAGUAAGUUAUCUUCUAAAGUUGUUCGAGUACUGUACUAAGCAUAGGAAAUAACGACCUAAGCUACCUUAUUUUCGUUAGUGCUAGCUGCUAUGAGAAACUUACCCAAUUCGUUGUUAAAAAUAGGGAAAAUACCCAAAUACUCAAAAAUUAGAAAGCUAAAACCCAUUCCAAUGAAAUUAUAAUCCUUUAGCUCAUUCCUAUGUUACACCGAUACUCCACCCCACGGACACUCCAACACUCCCGACACACCGAUAUCGAUACGAUACACCAAAAUGUGUGUCCGACACGCCACGUGGCGUGUCAAAAAAAGUUGACUUUUUAGACACGUUACGUCAGCCUGAGACACGCCAAGUCAGUGUGUAUUGAUUGAAAAAAAAAAAUACAGAACUAAAAGUCUAAAACCUAAUCGAAGAGGAAGCCCACUUUAAAGAAGCCGCAUAGAAGAGGAACGAUGUCACCGUUCACUAUCACUGCGAGAACGACGUCGUCUGUCCAUGUCAGUGUGAUUGUUCCUCCGAUGACACCACUCUGCGAGAACGACGAGAACAGCGUCGCCUUUCUCUGUUACAGCGACUCGUCCUCCGUCGGCCUAAACCCUCUCUUUAGUGUAAGGUUAAUCUUAAUCUCAGCUUUGACGUGUUUGGUGAUUGCAGUCUCAUUUGCAGUAACAGAAAAGCAUAUAAGAUUUUAAUCAUUUUAUGAUCAUUCUGAUACCACUUAUAGAUUUUUAAGGCAAUGUGCUAUUGAAGCAUCUGCACUGUGAUGUUAAGUGUCAUGAUAUUGCUCAAUUGCUGAUAGGGUAGGAUGGAGCUAGACAUUUGAGACUUUGCAAAAUUGAGUUUAUACCUACUAGUAUUAGAUCAUCAAUUAGUUGAGAGUUUGUAGGAGGUCAGGUUUUAUACUUGGUGAGAAACAUCGGCUCAUCUGUAUUUGUAAGGAAGAUUUAAUUGAAAGGAGUUGUGUAUGGAUUGCUUAUUUGUUUAUCUUUGCUCUGUUAAUUGUUAAUAUGUUAUGAUAUGCUGCUGUGUCUAUGCUGAUGUGCUUAUGCUACUGUGUGUCUAUGCUACUGUGUCUAUGCUAUUGUCUUAUGUUGUUUUGUUGGAUUAUUAUGAUUAGGAUGAGUUCAAGUGCGACAUCUACUGAACCUAGUGUUGAAUCAACUAAGCCUGAAAAAUUAGAUGCUCCUCUAUCAAGGAUAAAGGAUGAUGCCAAUGCAUGCGUGCCUUGCUCUUAUGUAUUUUGAAUAUCUCAGUUAUGGGGUUUUAGGCAGUUGGUGUUAUUAUAGGGUUAGGAAAGUCGGAUUUUCAUUCAGUUUGAUGAAUGUGUUGAAUUAGAUAAAACUAUUUAGUAAUCAUCCUUUAGAUUAAAUAUUGACUCUCUUUUAUGUUAUUUGUUACAGUUAUGCAAUUGCUUAAAUUUAGAGCAUUAUUUAAGCAAUGUGAUAAAUUUAUUCAUAUUUGAGCAUUUUUUUAUUAAUUAGAAAUAUACAAAUAAGUAAUUAUAUUUGCCGUGUCUAAGCCGUGUCGAAAAUGUAGUCUUUGAGUUUUGCCGUGUCGCCGUGUCAGUACGUAUCGUGUCGCCGUAUCCGUGUCCGUGUCCAUGUAACAUAGGCUCAUUCCAAUGAUUCUUAUGCAAAAGACAUUAUUANNNNNNNNNNNNNNNNNNNNCUCUCUCUCUCUCUCUCUCUCUCUCUCUCUCUCCUCUCUCUCUCUCUCUCUCUCUCUCUCUCUCUCUCUCUCUCUCUCUCUCGGUGUACGACGAUGCAAGGUUGAAGACGCAGCCUCCUACUGAGUCGACGAGACCGCGCUCGUGGUCGUGAUUCUCCUCAACAGCGACAUCGAUUUUGGCGGCACCUCUCGGAGAUGAUCCUCAUCUGCCAGAACCUCUGCAACAAUCUCUAGAGCCCUAACGAGCACAUCCGGGGCGUCACGCUCCAGUUCCUCUACUGGUUGAGCAAGUUGGAGAUUGUCCGGCCGUUGAUUUCAUCGAUUUUGGCCAAUCUAGUCAGAGAUUGAGGUCUGUGUUUAGUGCAAACAUGGAUAACGUUCUUCUUCUCCUUUUUUUAUCGGAGAUCGUGUUUUUGUUUUUGUUUUGGUCAGAGAGAUUGUGGUUUUUUCCCCUUUUUUUUUCAAUAUAAUGGUUAUUAAAUGAUAGUAUCUUGAUUAUUGGAGUAAUUAGUCUAUUAUUGGGAGGUAAGAAGUAUCUAGUGGAGGUCAAUAAACAUUUAUUGACCCCAAUAUUGCUUUUAUAAAUUUUUUUUGAGAUGUAGGGAUUUGCCUUAGAGGUAAAAACUUCCUUUUUAACUCGAUUACUAGGAAUCAUUAACUGAUUAUUGAGGUUAAGUAACUGAUUAUUGAGGGUCAGUAAGUGAUUAUUGGGGUUCAGUAACUGAUUAUUGGGGGUUAAUAACUGAUUAUUGGGGGUCAUUUUGAGAGUCAGUAACCGAGUUAUUGGUGAUCAGAAUCCAGCAACCGGAAAAAAUCUGAGUUACUGGGGGUCAGUAACUAAGUUACCGGUUAUCGGAAUCAGGCGACCGGAGAAAAUAUGAGUUACUAGGAGUCAAUAACGGCGACCGAAGAAAUUUCUGGCAACCGGGGACCGGAAUCCGGCGACCGGCAACCAGAGUCCGGCGGCGGGUGACCGGAGUCCGGUGAGAUUCCGGCCAAGUAUUCUCUCUCUUCCACUUUCUCUCUCUAUACAUGUUGAAGUGGUGAGAGUAAAAUUGUCUUAAAAAUAUAUAAAAAUUAUUUUUUAUUAUAACAUUAGUAAAGAUUUGUGCAUAAAAAAUGUUACCUUAUAUUGGAAUGAGCUCAUGAAAAAGAUUAACAUUAAAAUGGGGAAUAAGAGGUUUAAAUUAGUAUUAAAUUGACAUUUUCCCUUUAAAAUAAUAACAGAACCAUCAAUGCCGUGAUAGUCCCUUAAUAUUUGGUGGCUAAUUAGUAAUGCAUUCAUGGUAGUUGUGCUUAUUUUGUGCAUGUAUUCUAAUUCUAUCACUUGCAAAAUCGUUGUGGAAGGUUAAGAGGAGAAAACAGAAAAUGGGGCAGCAUGCAUCUCAUUUUAUUUCCGAUCAUAUUUUCAUAUCAUAGACGUUCACUAUUUAGAUAUACAUGAGUUGAUCAUCUCUACAAAAUUUCAACUAAUUUAGUUAUCAUUAAGGUAUCGAAAAUGUAUUAAAUCAAUGAACGAACCGAAUCUGUUCAUCCUGAACUGUACGUUCUAUUAGUUCUAAAUCACAGUUUUGAAUGUCUUAAUGAUUAUCAACUUGGCUGAAAAUUUAUAUAGAUGAUCUACUGAUAUAUAUACCUAAAAUAUGAACGGUUGAGAUGAGAAAAUAUGAUCGAAAGUGGGACAAAUAAUGAAAUCCGUACCUUAGAUAAGGUAAGGAGGUCCUUACCUGAUCAAGAUUGUGUGUGUGUGUCUAUAGAGUUUAGGGUUUAGAGUUUUAGGGUGUCAUGAAGAUAUCAUACAUCCUAAUCUCUCUGAAGCAGCAUUGCUUUUCCCACCGAGAGAUGACUUGCCUGAAAAGUAUGCCGGUCAGAUGGAAGGGUUAUGGUUUGCCGGAAAGAAUGUUGCUACAAGGAGAUUUGUAUUUGGUGCGAAAGCCAUAUCUUCAAUUCAAGAUGAAGCGAAGAGCGAGUCUGUGCCCAAGCCAUCACAAGUUCAGGCCGUCACUGGUUUUCUCUGGAAACAUCUAAUUGCUGCUUCUCGGGCACUAACAUCAGGUAAAAUCAGUUUAUCAACAAGCGUAAUGUAUUUGGGGUAGUCCCUUAUUAAUUAGCUGUUGUCCUAAACUUCUAACGAUAUGAACUUCUUUUUCAAAAGAAAAAAAAUAGUACACACUUAACAUUUUUUCUGUUAUAAUUUCACAUUAUUUAUAUAUUUUUAUUACGUAUAGUGUACUGUGUACAUAGCUCAAAGAAAGAUAAUAUAUAUGAAC